RNAcentral lists this unclassified non-coding RNA (204 nucleotides) under Hevea brasiliensis (rubber tree). Lineage: Eukaryota; Viridiplantae; Streptophyta; Magnoliopsida; Malpighiales; Euphorbiaceae. The record is from RNAcentral.
AAAACCAAGAUGAGGGGUUGGGCCGAUCCCGGUCACUCGCUAGGCUACAUGCCCAAAAAGAAUUCCUUAAAGCCACUGCUCUUGCUGCAGAACGCACUUUUGAAUCUGAGGAAUCCAUUCCUGAGCUGGAGGAGGCCUAUUCCAAGUUCCUGACCAUGUAUCCAAAGUACAACUCCUCAGGGAAGAUUGAUGAGCUGAGGUCAG